AGUGAACGCUGGCGGCAGGCCUAACACAUGCAAGUCGAGCGGCAGCGGGUCCUUCGGGAUGCCAGCGAGCGGCGGACGGGUGAGGAAUGCGUCGGAAUCUGCCUUUUUGUGGGGGAUAACGUAGGGAAACUUACGCUAAUACCGCAUACGACCUACGGGUGAAAGUGGGGGACCGCAAGGCCUCACGCAGAAAGAUGAGCCGACGUCGGAUUAGCUAGUUGGCGGGGUAAAGGCCCACCAAGGCGACGAUCCGUAGCUGGUCUGAGAGGAUGAUCAGCCACACUGGAACUGAGACACGGUCCAGACUCCUACGGGAGGCAGCAGUGGGGAAUAUUGGACAAUGGGCGCAAGCCUGAUCCAGCCAUGCCGCGUGUGUGAAGAAGGCCUUCGGGUUGUAAAGCACUUUUGUCCGGAAAGAAAUCCUGUCGGCUAAUACCCGGCGGGGAUGACGGUACCGGAAGAAUAAGCACCGGCUAACUUCGUG
This 484-nucleotide ribosomal RNA is filed under the name uncultured bacterium. RNAcentral's name for it is "partial 16S ribosomal RNA". It matches the Rfam family "Bacterial small subunit ribosomal RNA", at positions 29 to 507 of the family's 1533-position model. The record is from RNAcentral.